AUUGAACGCUGGCGGCAGGCCUAACACAUGCAAGUCGAGCGGACGCAGGGGGCUUGCUCCUGGAUUCAGCGGCAGACGGGUGGGUCAUGCCUAGGAAUCUGCCUGGUCGUGGGGGAUAUCGUCCGGAAACGGGCGCUGCUCUCGCAUACGUCGUGAGAUCGCAAUUGGGGGAUCUUCGGACCUCACGCUUUCUGAUGAGCCUAGGUCGGAUUAGCUAGUUGGUGGGGUAAAGGCUUACAAAGGCGACGAUCCGUAACUGGUCUGAGAGGAUGAUCAGUCACACUGGAACUGAGACACGGCCCAGACUCCUACGGGAGGCAGCAGUGGGGAAUAUUGCGCAAUGGGCGAAAGCCUGAUCCAGCCAUGCCGCGUGUGUGAAGAAGGUCUUCGGAUGGUAAAGCACUGUAAGUUGGGAGGAAGUGAAGUAAUUUAAUACCUGGCGGUUUUGACGGUACCAACAGAAGAAGCACCGGCUAACUUCGUG
This 484-nucleotide ribosomal RNA is filed under the name uncultured bacterium. RNAcentral describes it as "partial 16S ribosomal RNA". It matches the Rfam family "Bacterial small subunit ribosomal RNA", at positions 30 to 507 of the family's 1533-position model. The record is from RNAcentral.